GAUGAACGCUGGCGGCGUGCCUAAUACAUGCAAGUCGAGCGAACAGAUGAGGAGCUUGCUCCUCUGACGUUAGCGGCGGACGGGUGAGUAACACGUGGAUAACCUACCUAUAAGACUUGGAUAACUUCGGGAAACCGGAGCUAUUACCGGAUAAUAUAUUGAACCGCAUGGUUCAAUAGAGAAAGACGGUUUUGCUGUCACUUCUAGAUGGAUCAGCGCCGCAUUAGCUAGUUGGUAAGGUAACGGCUUACCAAGGCAACGAUGCGUAGCCGACGUGAGAGGGUGGUCGGCCACACUGGAUCUGAGACACGGUCCAGACUCCUACGCGAGGCAGCAGUAGGGAAUCUUCAGCAAUGGGCGAAAGCCUGACGUAGCAACGCCGCGUGAGUGAUGAAGGUCUUCGGAUCAUAAAACUCUGUUAUUAGGGAAGAACAAAUGGGUAAGUAACUAUGCACGUCUUGACGGUACCUAAACAGAAAGCCACGGCUAACUACGUG
RNAcentral lists this ribosomal RNA (497 nucleotides) under uncultured bacterium. RNAcentral's name for it is "partial 16S ribosomal RNA". It matches the Rfam family "Bacterial small subunit ribosomal RNA", at positions 28 to 507 of the family's 1533-position model. The record is from RNAcentral.